AUUGAACGCUGGCGGCAUGCUUUACACAUGCAAGUCGAACGGCAGCACGGGCUUCGGCCUGGUGGCGAGUGGCGAACGGGUGAGUAAUAUAUCGGAACGUACCCAGAAGCGGGGGAUAACGUAGCGAAAGCUACGCUAAUACCGCAUACGAUCUAUGGAUGAAAGCAGGGGACCGCAAGGCCUUGUGCCCCUGGAGCGGCCGAUAUCUGAUUAGCUAGUUGGUGAGGUAAAGGCUCACCAAGGCGACGAUCAGUAGCUGGUCUGAGAGGACGACCAGCCACACUGGAACUGAGACACGGUCCAGACUCCUACGGGGGGCAGCAGUGGGGAAUUUUGGACAAUGGGCGCAAGCCUGAUCCAGCAAUGCCGCGUGAGUGAAGAAGGCCUUCGGGUUGUAAAGCUCUUUUGUCAGGGAAGAAACGGUAGAGGCUAAUAUCCUUUGCUAAUGACGGUACCUGAAGAAUAAGCACCGGCUAACUACGUG
This 484-nucleotide ribosomal RNA is filed under the name uncultured bacterium. RNAcentral describes it as "partial 16S ribosomal RNA". It matches the Rfam family "Bacterial small subunit ribosomal RNA", at positions 30 to 507 of the family's 1533-position model. The record is from RNAcentral.